Long non-coding RNA from Zonotrichia albicollis (white-throated sparrow), 526 nucleotides. NCBI's taxonomy places the organism in Eukaryota, Metazoa, Chordata, Aves, Passeriformes, Passerellidae. The record is from Ensembl.
CUUGAACAUCCCAGGGGAUGGAAGGCACAUCCCAGGGGAUGGAGGGGAGCUGCUCCUGACCAUGUGCUUUUCCUUUCCAGCACAAAUUGCUGCUGUGACCUGUGCCAGCCUGGAGGGGACUCUGGGCAGCUCCUGCUGGUACUGCUGGAAGAGACACAGGAUGGAGAGUUUGUAUCCAAAGAGACACAGUGGGAAAAGUGAGGCAUAUUCCACUGAGGUACAGCUGGGAUGUGUUGAACUCUGUGUCAGUUUCACACAGCUGAAGAUCUAUUGAAUGCUGUGAUAUUCAAAGGCAUGGCCAAGCUCUGGGAGAAACAUGGAAAGAAACCUCUGAAGAACACAGAGCUGGUGGAAGAACAUGCAAGCUUUUUAAAGCAGGCUCCCUGUUGGGAAAAUUAUUACUUAUUAGAUGUUUUUAUUGAGACAGAGAGAAGCUCUUUCAGAUUCCCAUUUUUCAGCUUUUAACUGAAAUCAGCAGGCACUGCUGAUUAAUAAAUAUUAAUCAAUAUGAGGCUGGUUUGUUGGU